GAUGAACGCUGGCGGCGUGCCUAAUACAUGCAAGUCGAGCGAACGGACGAGAAGCUUGCUUCUCUGAUGUUAGCGGCGGACGGGUGAGUAACACGUGGAUAACCUACCUAUAAGACUGGGGUAACUUCGGGAAACCGGAGCUAAUACCGGAUAAUAUUUUGAACCGCAUGGUUCAAAAGUGAAAGACGGUCUUGCUGUCACUUAUAGAUGGAUCCGCGCUGCAUUAGCUAGUUGGUAAGGUAACGGCUUACCAAGGCAACGAUGCAUAGCUGAUCUGAGAGGGUGAUCAGCCACACUGGAACUGAGACACGGUCCAGACUCCUACGGGAGGCAGCAGUAGGGAAUCUUCCGCAAUGGGCGAAAGCCUGACGGAGCAACGCCGCGUGAGUGAUGAAGGUCUUCGGAUCGUAAAACUCUGUUAUUAGGGAAGAACAUAUGUGUAAUUAACUGUGCACAUCUUGACGGUACCUAAUCAGAAAGCCACGGCUAACUACGUG
This 497-nucleotide ribosomal RNA is filed under the name uncultured bacterium. RNAcentral describes it as "partial 16S ribosomal RNA". It matches the Rfam family "Bacterial small subunit ribosomal RNA", at positions 28 to 507 of the family's 1533-position model. The record is from RNAcentral.